This 57-nucleotide transfer RNA is filed under the name Camelus bactrianus (Bactrian camel). It matches the Rfam family "tRNA", at positions 8 to 63 of the family's 71-position model. Rfam says of the family: Transfer RNA (tRNA) molecules are approximately 80 nucleotides in length. Their secondary structure includes four short double-helical elements and three loops (D, anti-codon, and T loops). RNAcentral also lists the same sequence under 2 other names. Lineage: Eukaryota; Metazoa; Chordata; Mammalia; Artiodactyla; Camelidae. The record is from Rfam by way of RNAcentral.
UAGCUCAGUGGUAGAGUGUGUGCUUAGCAAACAUGAGGUCCUGGGUUCAAUCCCCAG